Molecule: ribosomal RNA, 253 nt
Filed under: uncultured bacterium
Lineage: Bacteria
Description: partial 16S ribosomal RNA
Rfam family: Bacterial small subunit ribosomal RNA
Source: RNAcentral
UACGGAGGGAGCUAGCGUUGUUCGGAAUUACUGGGCGUAAAGCGCGCGUAGGCGGCUUUGUAAGUUAGAGGUGAAAGCCCGGGGCUCAACUCCGGAACUGCCUUUAAGACUGCAUCGCUUGAAUCCAGGAGAGGUGAGUGGAAUUCCGAGUGUAGAGGUGAAAUGCGUAGAGAUGCGGAGGAACACCGAUGGCGAAGGCAGCCCCCUGGGCCAAUACUGACGCUCAGGCACGAAAGCGUGGGGAGCAAACAGG